GAAUAUUGGACAAUGGGGGCAACCCUGAUCCAGCGACGCCGCGUGGGUGAAGAAGGCCUGCGGGUUGUAAAGCCCUUUCGGUGGGGAAGAAAAGCCUCGACCUAAUACGUCGGGGUCUUGACGUAACCCACAAAACAAGCCCCGGCUAACUCUGUGCCAGCAGCCGCGGUAAUACAGAGGGUGCGAGCGUUAAUCGGAAUUACUGGGCGUAAAGCGCGCGUAGGCGGCGUGAUAAGCCGGUUGUGAAAGCCCCGGGCUCAACCUGGGAACGGCAUCCGGAACUGUCAGGCUAGAGUGCAGGAGAGGAAGGUAGAAUUCCCGGUGUAGCGGUGAAAUGCGUAGAGAUCGGGGGGAAUACCAGUGGCGAAGGCGGCCUUCUGGACUGACACUGACGCUGAGGUGCGAAAGCAUGGGUAGCAAACAGG
RNAcentral lists this ribosomal RNA (425 nucleotides) under uncultured bacterium. RNAcentral describes it as "bacterial SSU rRNA". It matches the Rfam family "Bacterial small subunit ribosomal RNA", at positions 359 to 776 of the family's 1533-position model. The record is from RNAcentral.